Molecule: regulatory RNA element, 154 nt
Organism: Pararhizobium polonicum
Lineage: Bacteria; Pseudomonadati; Pseudomonadota; Alphaproteobacteria; Hyphomicrobiales; Rhizobiaceae
Rfam family: speF leader
About the family: This family is a putative regulatory RNA structure that is found upstream of the speF gene encoding ornithine decarboxylase in Agrobacterium tumefaciens and other alpha-proteobacteria.
Source: Rfam
UCCCUGCUUUCCAUCAGCGGGGGUUACUGAAGAGGCACACCUUCAUUGCCGGACGUGCGGUAGGUUAUCCUUCCAAUCAAUGGCAGACAAAGCGGAUCAAAGCUCUUGGCAGGGCGUUGUUCCACCAUUCGCGCAUCGUGCGCAUGUCUGGAUC